RNAcentral lists this ribosomal RNA (482 nucleotides) under uncultured bacterium. RNAcentral's name for it is "partial 16S ribosomal RNA". It matches the Rfam family "Bacterial small subunit ribosomal RNA", at positions 28 to 507 of the family's 1533-position model. The record is from RNAcentral.
GACGAACGCUGGCGGCGUGCUUAACACAUGCAAGUCGAACGAUGAAGAAGAGAAACGCGCCCUUCGGUUCAAAUUUCACUUCGGAUUAGUGGCAGACGGGUGAGUAACGCGUGAGCAACCUACCUCUUACAAAGGGAUAGCCUCGGGAAACCGUGAUUAAUACCAUAUGACACAUUCAUAAGGCAUCUUAAGAAUGUUAAAGCUACGGCGGUAAGAGAUGGGCUCGCGUCCCAUUAGCUAGUUGGUGAGGUAACGGCCCACCAAGGCGACGAUGGGUAACCGGCCUGAGAGGGUGAACGGUCACAUUGGAACUGAGACACGGUCCAAACUCCUACGGGAGGCAGCAGUGGGGAAUAUUGCACAAUGGAGGGAACUCUGAUGCAGCGACGCCGCGUGAGCGAUGAAGGAAUUCGUGUCGUAAAGCUCUGUUCUAUGGGAAGAAAAGGACUGUACCAUAGGAGAAAGCCCCGGCUAAAUACGUG